Molecule: ribosomal RNA, 824 nt
Filed under: uncultured organism
Description: SSU rRNA
Rfam family: Bacterial small subunit ribosomal RNA
Source: RNAcentral
GAUGAACGCUUGCGGCGUGCCUAACACAUGCAAGUCGAGCGAGGGUUUGCUCAGUAUUGAGUAUUCUAAAACUAGAAUGUUCAAUUCUGAGCAAAACCAAGCGGCGGACGGGUGAGUAACGCGUGGGUAACCUGCCCUAUACACAUGGAUAACAUACUGAAAAGUUUACUAAUACAUGAUAAUAUAUAUUUGCGGCAUCGCAGAUAUAUCAAAGUGUUAGCGGUAUAGGAUGGACCCGCGUCUGAUUAGCUAGUUGGUGAGAUAACUGCCCACCAAGGCGACGAUCAGUAGCCGACCUGAGAGGGUGAUCGGCCACAUUGGAACUGAGACACGGUCCAAACUCCUACGGGAGGCAGCAGUGGGGAAUAUUGCACAAUGGGCGAAAGCCUGAUGCAGCAACGCCGCGUGAACGAUGAAGGUCUUCGGAUCGUAAAGUUCUGUUGCAGGGGAAGAUAAUGACGGUACCCUGUGAGGAAGCCCCGGCUAACUACGUGCCAGCAGCCGCGGUAAUACGUAGGGGGCUAGCGUUAUCCGGAUUUACUGGGCGUAAAGGGUGCGUAGGUGGUCCUUCAAGUCGGUGGUUAAAGGCUACGGCUCAACCGUAGUAAGCCGCCGAAACUGGAGGACUUGAGUGCAGGAGAGGAAAGUGGAAUUCCCAGUGUAGCGGUGAAAUGCGUAGAUAUUGGGAGGAACACCAGUAGCGAAGGCGGCUUUCUGGACUGCAACUGACACUGAGGCACGAAAGCGUGGGUAGCAAACAGGAUUAGAUACCCUGGUAGUCCACGCUGUAAACGAUGAGUACUAGGUGUCGGGGGUUACCCCCC